GCCGAUGUGGUGGCAGGCACCUGCAGUCCCAGCUACUUGGGAGGCUGAAGCAGGAGGAUCGCUUGAGCCCAGGAGUUUUGAGGUGUAGUGAGCUAUGCCCACUGGGUGUCCACACUAAGUCGACAUCAACAUGGUGAUCUCCCAGGAGCAGAGGACUACCCGGUUGCCUGAGGAGAGGUAAACUGGCCCAGGGUGGAAACACAGCAGGUCAAAACUCCCAUGCUGAUCAGUAGUGAGAUGUUGCCUGUGAAUAGCCACUGCAAUUCUGCGUGCACAACACAGGGAAACCCCGUUUUCA
Nomascus leucogenys (northern white-cheeked gibbon) is the source of this 298-nucleotide non-coding RNA. It matches the Rfam family "Metazoan signal recognition particle RNA". From Rfam's summary of the family: The signal recognition particle (SRP) is a universally conserved ribonucleoprotein. It is involved in the co-translational targeting of proteins to membranes. The record is from Rfam. Lineage: Eukaryota; Metazoa; Chordata; Mammalia; Primates; Hylobatidae.